Molecule: non-coding RNA, 48 nt
Filed under: Schistosoma haematobium
Lineage: Eukaryota; Metazoa; Platyhelminthes; Trematoda; Strigeidida; Schistosomatidae
Source: RNAcentral
AUCCAGUUGACAAGUCUCAAAUAGGACGAAACGCGCGUCAUACUGGUU